Bos taurus (domestic cattle) is the source of this 784-nucleotide long non-coding RNA. The record is from Ensembl. NCBI's taxonomy places the organism in Eukaryota, Metazoa, Chordata, Mammalia, Artiodactyla, Bovidae.
AAAUGAUUGGAAUUUUAGUCGCUGUUGAAACACCACUAUCAGCUAGGCUCUGAAGAUUUUUUUUUAGGUGGGCAGGAAGAGAAACUGCAUAGAUGGCUUCAACUUCAAGUUCAGGAACUAAUCCUCACAGUGUGAAGUUGGAAUGAUUAUUUAGACAUUUUGGGAAAAAGCCAACUGCCUUGAUCUGGAGGACUCCUAAUGUCAUCUUUUUCUCCCCAUGGCACCCAGACUCUCCCCUCCCUCUUCUUGACAGCAACAACAGUCAAAGGCAAGCAUGCUUUUGACUUCAGAGAAGUCCUUGGAGGUGGUACAGUCAUUAAGAUGCAGAAGCUGUUACCCAAAAUCUGGGUUCACCUCUUGGUGGGUGAAGAGCCAGAAGACCCAACCAAGUCACGGAUCAGGGGACGGAAGGAUUUAUUAUUACUUGCAGCAAGUAAAGAGAACACUGGGGAUCUUUCUCAAAAUGGUAUCUCCCUGAGCAGCAAAAUUGGGGCAGUUUUAAGCUAAGGGUACAUGCAUAUUCAUGAAGGAGCAUGAGCGGUGGACAGAAUCCAAGCUUUAAUUGGUGGGAGUCGGGAGGGUCAGAGAAGGUCAACAUUCUCACCCUUAGGUUCCAGGUGAUCUGGGGGUUGAGCCUUCAGGCUAAUCUUUACCACUGAAACAGGACUGGAGUCUUUACAGCUGGGAGCCUCUGCUGUUGUUACUUCUCUUGCCUGACAAUAUCGUUUGUUCCUGCGUUCUAUUGUUCCCUUAAGAUCAUUGUUACUGAGAUCUGUUCAAGGAG